GUGGGGAAUCUUCCGCAAUGGACGAAAGUCUGACGGAGCAACGCCGCGUGAGUGAUGAAGGUCUUCGGAUUGUAAAGCUCUGUUAAUCGGGACGAAAGAGCCUAGUGUGAAUAAUGCUAGGAAGUGACGGUACCGGAAUAGAAAGCCACGGCUAACUACGUGCCAGCAGCCGCGGUAAUACGUAGGUGGCAAGCGUUGUCCGGAAUUAUUGGGCGUAAAGCGCGCGCAGGCGGAUCUGCCAGUCUGUCUUAAAAGUUCGGGGCUUAACCCCGUGAUGGGAUGGAAACUACAGAUCUAGAGUAUCGGAGAGGAAAGUGGAAUUCCUAGUGUAGCAGUGAAAUGCGUAGAUAUUAGGAAGAACACCAGUGGCGAAGGCGACUUUCUGGACGAAAACUGACGCUGAGGCGCGAAAGCCAGGGGAGCGAACGGGAUUAGAUACCCGAGUAGUCC
RNAcentral lists this ribosomal RNA (450 nucleotides) under uncultured bacterium. RNAcentral describes it as "partial 16S ribosomal RNA". It matches the Rfam family "Bacterial small subunit ribosomal RNA", at positions 354 to 796 of the family's 1533-position model. The record is from RNAcentral.